UCAUAGCCAUAACCUCACUGUUGCCCUUAUCUUGCUCCCGCUGCUCCACUAAAGCCCCAGUCCAUUGCAGCCUCCCUCCAUCGCAACUCGUGCUCCAACUUGAAGACAUACACAGCAACAACAACCCGUGCUCCAAGUUAAAGGGACAAUGAUUGCCACCCACAAAGACAGUGGUUGCCACCUCCUUGCCUCCAUCCCUUAAAUUAGGGUUGAGGUUAGUUCUGUUUCAUCUCCCUUCCAUUAUCAACAUGAAUUUGAGUAGCUAAAAUUAGGGUUUCAAUUCCCUCUCUCUGAUCUUGUUGAUGAUUUCUUAAUUUAAUGUUGAAUUCGCCUAUUAACAUAUUUAAUUUCGCUAUUUUCCAUACUAAAUUUUGCAUGCAUCUGAAUUGGGUGAAGUUAGGAUUUUUUUUUUUUUUUUUUAGGUUUUUCAAUUAUGGCUGAUUUGUUUUUCCUUUGUAAUUUGAUCUUUUAUUAACUAAUCUGACCAAUUUUUAUUUAAUUAUGUUCUUUUCUAAAUUGAUUUCUGGUAAGCUUGUCGACAAUCCAAAUAAUUGUGGGAAAAGAGAUGCAAAAAUCCAAAAAAUGCCAUUUAUAAUUGAAGAAUUGGUGUUUCAUAUACAAAUUACUUCUGCUAUUCCUACUACUUCUUAAACCACCACUCUUGGCAAAGUGGCAAGGUUUGCUUUUAUUUAUUUAUUUAUUUUAUUAAUCUUAAGCUCUUAUUAUAUAAUUGGAUUUUUAUUUCUCAUUACCUCAAUUAUUUUUUACUUUUUCCUGAUUAUUUGUUACUUUGUAAGUAAUUUAUGAUAACUGCAUCAAUUGUCACAUUUUCCAGGCUUUAAUUUUGUGGGGUAAAGAUGAUAAUAUUAUGCAAUUUACCCAUUUUUCUGGAUUUUGCUUGAUUUUGGGAUUUUAGGUGAUUGAUUAGUUAUACUCUGUUUCUCUCUUUCUCAUGGCAGCAUAAUCAGUUACCUCUAGUAAAGCUCUCAAUUGUUAGGUUACGUGACUAAUUUAAGAAAUUAGCAAGUGUGUGAUAAUGCCAAUAGGGAACCUACAGGUGGUAUGACAAAGAGGUCAAUUAGGAGUUAUAUUGAUGGAGACUUAGUCCUUUAGAAGAGGCUACACGAGAAUAUGUAUACUCUUACACCAUGACUCAUGAGUGUGGAGCUCUUAUGGCCACAGGAAGGGCAGUCUUACUGUCCCAAUCUUCAAAGUCUGUUCCCUGAAACAAAGAGUGAGCACGCCGUGCUUCCUCCUCGUGAUAUACCAAUGAUCCAUGCUAGUCUUAGCAAACACUUAUACCCCCACUUGAAUCACUUGAUUGAGCUUCUCUCCACACCAACAUUUCUGAUAGCUUCUUGUCGACUUUAACAAUUUGAUCCUCGCUUUAAGAACAGAAGUGUCCUAAAUAACUUUAUCAGUUGUGAUUCAUUUCCCAUUCUAGAAAAUUAGCCAAUGUUCAAAAAUCAGAUAACACCCCCUUGCAAAAAACAGAGUAGUUCAGAAUUCAGAUUAGCUAGCAGGAUAUAGAAAGAACACUCAAAAAAUAUUUUCCCACAUCAAUGAUUUCCAAGAAGAUGGUAGUAGCCUUGGGGGGUCAAUGGGUGGAUCAUAGCCUAAGUAGUAUCUCAUAAUUUGUGUCGUCAAUGAAGCCGCGUUCACGUAGCUUCUGCCCCACUCCAGAAGUCAAGAUACAACUUUUUUACUCUGAAACCACAAGAUAUUUACUCUGUUUAUAUAAUCAGUUACCUCCAGUCAAGAUCUCAAUUGUUAGGUUACAUGACUAAUUUAAGCAAUUGGCAAGUGUGUGAUAAUGCCAAUAGGGAACCUACAGGUGGUAUGACAAAGAGGUGAAUUAGGAGUUAUAUUGAUGGAGAAUUAGUCCUAUCAUGUAAUCAAUAUAUUGAUUUAUAUUAUGAAUUAGUGGCUAUGUAUUUUAACUAGAAACUACAAUAUUGUUUGAGCCUUAGAGGCCAUGGCUUUUAAGUUUCUAUACUUUCAUAUUUAUUUUUCUUGAGUAGUUGUACAAGGACUAGUAAUUUAUCCUGAUAGUCUUACAUUACCGUAAAGUGGUACCCUUAGUUAUACAAUGUGACUAAAGUUUGAAUGAGUAAUUAGAAUAUCCAUUGACUUAGUGCUAGCAAGGCACAUGAUUUAUCCAAAUUCACUAUGUUAGUGUAUUAUUCCUAUUCAUCUUUCUUCACAAAGAGGUAGAAAUUCGAGAUAAAGCAUGAGAUAAGUGUAUAUUAAUCUCUAUGACUUUGUUAUGAGAAAAGUAAAGGCAAGUUAUGUACUACUCAUAGCUAGAAGUCUAGAAUUUAAUUUUUCUUGCGAUCUGAAUGCUUGUAAUGGUAAAUCUACAGCAAAAAGUCAGUGACCAGCUAAUGAUUUUUGGUUGGGUUUAUGUAAAAGGAGAAUAGGUGAUCUAAAGGGAACCACCUUCUUCAUUUGUUAGACCUCAAAUCACCCCUCCUAAUCAACCUCACUAGCAAAUUUCAGUCUUUAUAAGCGAGUUUGAUAUGAGGAUUUCGUAAGUACUCUCCUAUUUUCUUCCCCUCUUUAUUCUUUGCUUAUUUCUUCAAUAUCCUCAUUUUAUUUGUGAUUCUUUAUCGAUGAACUGUUACUCUUUGAUUUUAUUUGAAUUUCAUGUUUUUAUCUAUAUUUUGAUAUUUAUCUUGUAAUCUUGUCGCAUAUCAUUAGUGUUGUUAAACCUAUUUAUUUGUCAAUUUGGUUUCUGUUUUGGUUUAAUUUUGUAUGAAUCUUUUCGGUAAUUGCUUACUAAUUUUAAAAUUCAUACCUUAAUUAAGGAGUACGUUAAGAAACCUAUAGGUUUUUAGGGGAAUUAUCAGUUUCAAUUUUCUAGAUACACCUUAUUUAUAUAAAAAGAGACCUGGAAUUGGUAAAUUAACCAAGCUAAAAUUUCUAGUAAAAACUUUGGAACUAAUUUUUGUUCAUGUGAAAUACAAUUUUAACUAAUUGGUCUUAAAAAGCAAUUGAGAAUUUGAAUUAACUUGUCACUGCAAUCGCCAAUAAGCCUGCCCAAGUAUUAGUAUGGUUUUCACUCUUUUUUUUUUAUUAUUGUAUUCUACCAGUAAUAAGCAAUCUUUAAGCAAUAACUCUUACAUAUGGUACAAUGAAGCCAAUUAGUACUAGGACCAACAGUUACAGGGAUAAAUAUUCAUAAUUAAAAGUUUAAAUUAUUCUACAGUUUUAUGUGAGACUAAAUCCUAAUCAAAUUAUUACAGAUUAUUAAGGAUGAAAUUACUAAAGGUUAUUAUUGUUAGUUUGUUGGACAUUUUUUUCUCAUAGUAUUUAUGUUAUAUUGGCUCCUUUUCCUUUUAUUGUUUGAUUUUCAUGAUAAUUCAAUGGCUCGCUAUCUAUCUCUCGAUGUGGAAGGUGCUACAUCAUUUGCUCCUGUAAUUGAAAUGGCCAUGACAAUUGUUGAGGAGAGUGGAGGACAAUACCAUGUUUUACUCAUUAUUGCAGAUGGAUAGAUUGAUUGAAGACAAAAAUACUCGUAAAUAUUCAAGAAAUUAGUAGAAGAUAGAGAUAAACUUGAUUUCAUUAGUUUAUUUCCUUGGAGUUGUUGUGCAGUUUUGUUCUUUUUUGUAUAGUAAUAGUGUAAUGGAGUACUAUUAAGUAUUGAUUUAUUUGCUUUUAUCUUGUAUUUGACUUCACCUUACCAAUUAAAGAUUGAAUUUAGUUUUAUUGAUAAUGAAUGUAGCUUGUUGUGAACAUGUGAA
Molecule: long non-coding RNA, 3743 nt
Organism: Chenopodium quinoa (quinoa)
Lineage: Eukaryota; Viridiplantae; Streptophyta; Magnoliopsida; Caryophyllales; Amaranthaceae
Exons: 2
Source: RefSeq, a predicted model, not a curated record